UACGUAGGGUGCAAGCGUUAAUCGGAAUUACUGGGCGUAAAGCGUGCGCAGGCGGUUUUGUAAGUUUGUCGUGAAAGCCCCGGGCUCAACCUGGGAAUUGCGAUGAAGACUGCAAGGCUUGAAUCUGGCAGAGGGGGGUAGAAUUCCACGUGUAGCAGUGAAAUGCGUAGAGAUGCGGAGGAACACCGAUGGCGAAGGCAGCCCCCUGGGCUGACACUGACGCUCAGGCACGAAAGCGUGGGGAGCAAACAGG
This 253-nucleotide ribosomal RNA is filed under the name uncultured bacterium. RNAcentral's name for it is "partial 16S ribosomal RNA". It matches the Rfam family "Bacterial small subunit ribosomal RNA", at positions 524 to 776 of the family's 1533-position model. The record is from RNAcentral.